This is a long non-coding RNA of Chenopodium quinoa (quinoa), 414 nucleotides long. RefSeq lists it as uncharacterized. The record is from RefSeq and is a predicted model, not a curated record. The transcript has 4 exons. Lineage: Eukaryota; Viridiplantae; Streptophyta; Magnoliopsida; Caryophyllales; Amaranthaceae.
AAAAAAAAAACAUCUUGUUCUCUCUUUAUUUUCCCUCUCCAUUAUCUCUCUCAUCUAAGCUUUAAAACUUCAACCAUGGCGGACAUUAGAGACGAAGUCAAACAACCGAAGCAAAUUUCACCGAAAAAAAGUAGCGAAAAUCAAAAGAGAAACAAAUUGAUAGUUUAAUAACUGAAAAUGUAUAUAUUUUGGAGAAAUCUAUUUCAGAGAACAGAAACAACGAUUCUUCAAAAAUGUAGACCAAAUCAGGAAGCUGAGGAUGCAAUACACAACUCAACUAAUGCUUUUGAAGAAAACACUGAAUGUAGGAUCAACAAAAGAUUAUCAAGAAAAAUUACAAAAGAGUAGUAUUACAUGUUCAUUUAUAAAUUUAUAUAUGUUCAUUUAUACAAAGAUAUAUGUUCUUAUAUGUGU